AUAAGAUAUUUGAAUAAAAAGCAUUCCUGCUUAUUUCAUUAAAAUCUAGACCAAUUAUUAUACGAUUUGCGGUCGUAUAUUGGUAUGACGUUGGUGUCGUCGUCGUCCGAAGACACAUUGGUUUUCGUACUCUAACUUUAGUUUAAGUGAAUGGAUCUCUAUGAAAUUUUACCAUAAGGUUCAAUACCACAAAAGGAAGGUUAGGAUUGAUUUUGGGGGUUAUGGUACCAACAGUUAAGGAAUUAGGGGCCAAAAAGGGGCCAAAAAUAAGCAUUUUCUAGUUUCCAGACAAUAACUGUGGAACGGUGUAUGGUACUCUCUGAAAUUAUACUACAAGUUUCCAUACCACAAAGGGAUGGUUAGGAUUUGCUUUGGGGGG
Long non-coding RNA from Mytilus californianus (California mussel), 379 nucleotides. RefSeq lists it as uncharacterized. The record is from RefSeq and is a predicted model, not a curated record. The transcript is spliced from 2 exons. NCBI's taxonomy places the organism in Eukaryota, Metazoa, Mollusca, Bivalvia, Mytilida, Mytilidae.